AGUGGUAGCAGGUAAUUAGGAGCUAAAAUCAUGUUUAGGAAAUUCACUAAAUUUUGCUGUUGUCAGUGAAUAUAGUUGUGAAUGAACUAGACAAGACCUUGCAACACCAAAGAAAAAGCCACUUUCUGAAGGUGAGAAGAGGAAGAAGAAAAUUGUGCUUGGGAGUUUAAUGAAAGCGUGGUGAGGCCUGGUGGUGAUGAUCAGGAUAAGGAAAUAGAGUGGAGCAAGAGGCCAAGGCUUGGCUCAGAAGAAGAAAUUUAGUUUAGCAUCUGUGUCACUCUUUGUAUGACUACAAGCUAUAUGAAGGCUUGCCUCCCUUAUAAACUAUGGAGAUGGUCCCAUCUACUGCUGUUAGCAAAGUGUUACGUAGAGGAGGGGCAAAUAUAACUAAUUUCAGGAAGUAUCUUAAGGUGGGAUGUCAAGGUUUUGGGGCUUAGUUUGGAGUUGGAGAGAAAGGGGAAGAAAAUGGGCAGCUCACCAAGGAGGUGGUGGACACGGAUGCGGUGCAAUGAAACUAAAGUAUAUAUAUUCUAAGUAUAUGAGUUGGGCCCAGUUGUUGCUAUGCUGUGUCGGAUAGGGCAUCCUCCUAGCUCGAAGAGGAAGCCAAGUCAUCCUCCAAAGGCUGCUCCUGCUGGCGGUCCGGCUGCUGUUGCUGUGGUGGCAGCUGAAGCUUCAAGUGGCGACUCCUGUUCAUUGCUGUCUCUGAUCCUGCCACUGCCGUGACUGCAUUGCGGCCGGCACCCAUGGUUGUGCCUGCUAUUCAUCACAACCAGAAGAAUUUAGAAGAGCAUUUGGAGAAUACCAAUGUGGAUGAUUCUAGCUGCUGUUUGCAGUUUUUGCGGGUUUGAUAUUUACUUCUAAAUGAUGCAUUGAAGCUUUAUAAUAUAUAGAGCAUGAAGUGAUAAAUUAUCCAACACUGACAAUUCUAUGAUGAAAAUGCCAUGUCACUGACAUUUAGUAUUUUUGCG
This is a long non-coding RNA of Arachis stenosperma, 968 nucleotides long. RefSeq lists it as uncharacterized. NCBI's taxonomy places the organism in Eukaryota, Viridiplantae, Streptophyta, Magnoliopsida, Fabales, Fabaceae. The transcript has 8 exons. The record is from RefSeq and is a predicted model, not a curated record.